AUUGAACGCUGGCGGCAGGCCUAAUACAUGCAAGUCGAGCGAGCGGCGGACGGGUGAGUAAUGUAUGGGGCUCUGCUCGAUAGAGGGGGAUAACUACUGGAAACGGUGGCUAAUACCGCAUACUAUCGGAUGAACCUAUAUGGGAUUAGCUUGUAGGUGGGGUAAAGGCUCACCUAGGCGACGAUCUCUAGCUGGUCCGAGAGGAUGAUCGGCCACACUGGGACUGGGACACGGCCCAGACUCCUACGGGAGGCAGCAGUGGGGAAUAUUGCACAAUGGGCGAAAGCCGGAUACAGCCAUGCCGCGUGUAUGAAGAAGGCCUUAGGGUUGUAAAGUACUUUCAGCGGGGAGGCGUUACCCGCAGAAGAAGCACCGGCUAACUCCGUGCCAGCAGCCGCGGUAAUUC
Molecule: ribosomal RNA, 406 nt
Filed under: uncultured bacterium
Lineage: Bacteria
Description: partial 16S ribosomal RNA
Rfam family: Bacterial small subunit ribosomal RNA
Source: RNAcentral